UUUUGUUAUACACUUGCAUUAAACUACAAAUUGACCGAAUUAAGAUUGCCACUGAAGCUAAUCAGGGCUGUGCCCGGUCAGUACCUGGAUGGGAAACCACAUGGGAAAGCUAGGUUGUUGCCAGAA
RNAcentral lists this ribosomal RNA (126 nucleotides) under Danio rerio (zebrafish). Lineage: Eukaryota; Metazoa; Chordata; Actinopteri; Cypriniformes; Danionidae. The record is from RNAcentral.